AUGAGUACCCCUGUACGUUUUAUCGCCGAUUUACACUGCAAUUAUGGGAUCGCUCUCAGCUGCCAUGUUGACGUUGGCAUGAGGGACGUUGAUUGGGUAGCGAUGUAUGCAUCCCGCCCACGCCUUGUCCAGCUGGGUUGCCGGGCCGAUGCACUCCCAGACGGCGCUGUUGCACUUGACCCCAGCUCCGAGGCCAACCAUCCACACACGGUCGCCCUUCCGCACCCGGCCAUUGGCCUCGAGGUACGCCAUCUCGUACCACACCGAGCUGCUCGACGUGUUGCCGAACCGGUGAAGCGCCAUGCGAGACGGCUCCACGUGCUCCUCCGACAGCCCGAGGCUAGACUGGACCUCGUCGACGACCGCACGCCCCCCUGCAUGGAUGCACACGUGAUGGAACGCCUUGCACAAGUCGGGGACGUAAGGCUUCACCUUCACGCCGCCUCGCCGGCCCAGCUUGAGCAGCAGUUUGUUGGCGACGAAGCGCAGCUGCUCGAAGAAGGGGAGCACCAGCGGGCCAAGGCCUGUGAUGUUGGCCUCGAGCGCGGCACCGGCGACGCACAUGAGGUCCCUGGAAAGUUUGACUCCCAAGUUGCCUUCGUCGUCCUCCUCCUGGAAGAUGCACCGGUAGGAGCUGUCCUGCUCGCCGCCGGUGAUCGUCCGCACGAGGUGGGCGAGUCGAAACCGCGCCCUGUCCUUGGACGUGGACAGCAGCACGGCGGCGCCGCCCACCCGAAAGAGCAUGUUGGACAGCAGCAUGGAGCGCUCCCUGCCGAGGUACAGGUUGGGCGUGAUGGUCUCCGUGGACACGACCAGAGCGUGAGCAGCAGCAACACCGUGGGGCGCUGCACGAAGUAG
RNAcentral lists this ribosomal RNA (858 nucleotides) under Triticum aestivum (bread wheat). RNAcentral describes it as "partial small subunit ribosomal RNA". Lineage: Eukaryota; Viridiplantae; Streptophyta; Magnoliopsida; Poales; Poaceae. The record is from RNAcentral.